This 484-nucleotide ribosomal RNA is filed under the name uncultured bacterium. RNAcentral's name for it is "partial 16S ribosomal RNA". It matches the Rfam family "Bacterial small subunit ribosomal RNA", at positions 30 to 507 of the family's 1533-position model. The record is from RNAcentral.
AUUGAACGCUGGCGGCAGGCCUAACACAUGCAAGUCGAGCGGAUGAAGGGAGCUUGCUCCUGGAUUCAGCGGCGGACGGGUGAGUAAUGCCUAGGAAUCUGCCUGGUAGUGGGGGAUAACGUCCAGAAACGGGCGCUAAUACCGCAUACGUCCUGAGGGAGAAAGUGGGGGAUCUUCGGACCUCACGCUAUCAGAUGAGCCUAGGUCGGAUUAGCUAGUUGGUGGGGUAAAGGCCUACCAAGGCGACGAUCCGUAACUGGUCUGAGAGGAUGAUCAGUCACACUGGAACUGAGACACGGUCCAGACUCCUACGGGAGGCAGCAGUGGGGAAUAUUGGACAAUGGGCGAAAGCCUGAUCCAGCCAUGCCGCGUGUGUGAAGAAGGUCUUCGGAUUGUAAAGAACUUUAAGUUGGGAGGAAGGGCAGUAAGUUAAUACCUUGCUGUUUUGACGUUACCAACAGAAUAAGCACCGGCUAACUUCGUG